GAUGAACGCUGGCGGCGUGCUUAACACAUGCAAGUCGAACGGAAAGGCCCAAGCUUGCUUGGGUACUCGAGUGGCGAACGGGUGAGUAACACGUGGGUGAUCUGCCCUGCACUUCGGGAUAAGCCUGGGAAACUGGGUCUAAUACAGGAUAGGACCUCAUUUUGGACGGUGUGGUGGAAAGUUUUUCGGUGUGGGGUGAGCUCGCGGCCUAUCAGCUUGUUGGUGGGGUAAUGGCCUACCAAGGCGUCGACGGGUAGCCGGCCUGAGAGGGUGUACGGCCACCUUGGGACUGAGGGACGGCCCAGACUCCUACGGGAGGGAGCAGGGGGGAAUAUUGCACGAUGGGCGCAAGCCGGGUGCAGCGACGCCGCGGGGGGGAUGACGGCCUUCGGGUUGUAGACUCCUUUCGCUAGGGACGAAGCGUUAUGUGACGGUACCUGGAGAAGAAGCACCGGCUAACUACGUG
Molecule: ribosomal RNA, 466 nt
Filed under: uncultured bacterium
Lineage: Bacteria
Description: partial 16S ribosomal RNA
Rfam family: Bacterial small subunit ribosomal RNA
Source: RNAcentral